GUUCCACAACUUCAGCUUCUCGCCUCUCUUUCUUCUCUCGACCUAUAAUUUCAGUUUCUCUCUUUCUUCUCUGGCCUCUCGCUCUCUCUUUCUUCUCUUCGUCCAUCUUCUCAGUUUUCUCUUCGUCAUCGAGAAUUCGAGAUCGUCAAGGAGAUUGCCAAGAGCUGGAAGGGUUGUCAAUCCUCUCAGUUUUCUCUUCGUCUCUAGUCUCCGCCGCCGCUCCUGUCAUCUAGGCCCUCAAGGAGCCAGAUCGUGACCGCAAGGUCUAGAACAUCAAGCACAACGACAAGCUGGCAAUGAGGACCUGCGCAGGACCGCCGCUUUACCCGCACCUUUAUUCUUCUUCAUACUCUGCAGAUCCAGAGCGUUUCUCUCAAAUCCAGCCUUAUUGCCGAAGAUAUCAAGCAGCCCCGGGAAUUGAUGAGCUAAAAGAUGUGUUCAAGGAAUCUGGGGUUGUAAGGGUGCAGUCUAGAAAGAAAGCAGAGAUGUUUUUAGUACGAACAGAUGGGUUCUCUUGUACCUGAGAAAAAAGUGGGAAUCCUCCCUGGCCUUCACUCAUCCAAGUACUCAGCAACAAAUGCUUAUGUUGAAAUCUACACCGAAAACAGUAUUAGUGUAAGCCUGGGCAUGAACUAAUGGAAAAAGCUAAAGAGGUGGUGCAUACUGGAAGAAUUGCUCUAGUGCGUGAGUCAGGAGUUGAUUCUAGAUAUCUCUAUGGAUCUUCUUUUCCUCCUUAGUUUGACAAGCUGCAAGGUUGAACAAAUUUCAUGAACUGUUAUGAUUCGAUUGGAUGUUUCGAUUUAGGUUGAUGGAGUCAAUCAAGGCAUGAUGGGCUUCAACAAUUGAGCCUUGAUCAAUAUGAUAUUUUUGUUAUCA
Long non-coding RNA from Rosa rugosa (rugosa rose), 876 nucleotides. RefSeq lists it as uncharacterized. The record is from RefSeq and is a predicted model, not a curated record. The transcript has 5 exons. NCBI's taxonomy places the organism in Eukaryota, Viridiplantae, Streptophyta, Magnoliopsida, Rosales, Rosaceae.